AGGGUUCGAUCCUGGCUCAGGACGAACGCUGGCGGCGUGCUUAACACAUGCAAGUCGAGCGGGGAUCUCGUUGGAAGUCCUUCGGGACGGAAGACGAGAUUCUAGCGGCGGACGGGUGAGUAACGCGUGAGCAAUCUGUCCCAGACAGGGGGAUAACACUUGGAAACAGGUGCUAAUACCGCAUAAGACCACGGGCCCGCAUGGGCUUGAGGUAAAAGGAGCGAUCCGGUUUGGGGUGAGCUCGCGUCCCAUUAGCUAGUUGGCGAGGUAACGGCCCACCAAGGCGACGAUGGGUAGCCGACCUGAGAGGGUGAACGGCCACAUUGGAACUGAGACACGGUCCAG
This 345-nucleotide ribosomal RNA is filed under the name uncultured bacterium. RNAcentral's name for it is "bacterial SSU rRNA". It matches the Rfam family "Bacterial small subunit ribosomal RNA", at positions 8 to 334 of the family's 1533-position model. The record is from RNAcentral.